AAUCAACGCUGGCGGCGUGCCUCAGACAUGCAAGUCGAACGCGAAAGUUUCCUUCGGGGAGCGAGUAGAGUGGCGCACGGGUGAGUAACACGUAGGUAAUCUACCUUCGGAUGGGGAAUAACAAUCGGAAACGGUUGCUAAUACCGCAUAAUGCAGCGGCACCUAAUGGUGACAGUUGUUAAAGCGGGGGAUCGUAAGACCUCGCGUCUGAAGAGGAGCCUGCGGCGGAUUAGCUUGUUGGUAAGGUAAUGGCUUACCAAGGCGACGAUCCGUAACCGGCCUGAGAGGGCGGUCGGUCACACUGACACUGACAUACGGGUCAGACUCCUACGGGAGGCAGCAGUCGGGAAUUUUGGGCAAGUGGGCGAAAGCCUCGACCCAGCAACGCCGCGUGAAGGAUAGAAACUCCCGUCGGGA
This 417-nucleotide ribosomal RNA is filed under the name uncultured bacterium. RNAcentral's name for it is "bacterial SSU rRNA". It matches the Rfam family "Bacterial small subunit ribosomal RNA", at positions 32 to 423 of the family's 1533-position model. The record is from RNAcentral.